UACGUAGGGUGCGAGCGUUAAUCGGAGUUACUGGGCGUAAAGCGCACGCAGGCGGUCUGUUAAGUUUGGAGUGACAGUUGGUGGCUUAACUGCCAAAGUGCUUCGAAAACUGAUCGACUUGAGGGCUUCAGAGGGACACGGAAUUCCGGGUGGAGUGGUGAAAUGCGUAGAGAUCCGGAGGAACACCGAAGGCGAAGGCAGUGUCCUGGGGAGUACCUGACGCUCAGGUGCGAAAGCCAGGGGAGCGAACGGG
This 253-nucleotide ribosomal RNA is filed under the name uncultured bacterium. RNAcentral's name for it is "partial 16S ribosomal RNA". It matches the Rfam family "Bacterial small subunit ribosomal RNA", at positions 524 to 776 of the family's 1533-position model. The record is from RNAcentral.